Solanum dulcamara is the source of this 1486-nucleotide long non-coding RNA. RefSeq lists it as uncharacterized. The record is from RefSeq and is a predicted model, not a curated record. The transcript is spliced from 7 exons. NCBI's taxonomy places the organism in Eukaryota, Viridiplantae, Streptophyta, Magnoliopsida, Solanales, Solanaceae.
CAUUGUCUUGUGAGUAUCCUUAAACCCUGUUGCUGUUGCUUCCUCUCCCUAUGAGAAAGGUGAGAGCAAAAUGUCCAUUUCUCGUCUUUUUUUCAUCCAUAUUCCGAUCGCUGAUCAACACUGUAGAAUGUAAAAGAUGGUGUUCUUCAGUGAAUGAUAAGGGUGAAAUUUCACAGCUGUUGAAGAAAUCUGAGGCGGUGGAGCACCAGAAAGCCAUGGCUGUGGAGAUAUAUGAAAAGAAUUUGUUUGUCAAUCAUAUUGUGGACAAAGUUGUUGCCAUGUGACCAGGAGGACGGGUUCAAGCCUUGAAACAGCCUCUGGCAGAAAUGCAAGGUAAGUAAAACUCCCGAUAUCGAACCUGGCAUGAAUGGAUUAGUUUGGAAUGUCAAGGUUCAAAGGUGUGUUGCAAAAUAGAGACUUUUGGAGAGAAUUCCGAGUUUCUAUCCCAUGCAACCCGCUAUAGCGGGUGUCAUGUCGCUAAAGCCAGGAAAAUUAAUUCCCUCUAUAGCGGGGUAAGUUAGGUGUUAGUGCAGUAAAGUCCCUAAAUCAGUCAAUUUUUGGCUAUCUCAUUUUGGGGAUCUACAAGGGCGAAAACCACCAGUUUUCCAUCGUGUUCAUCAAUAAAGGUAAAUUAAUUACUCCCCUAACUUGUAAAUUGAUUCUUAAGCCUUAGAAUCCAUGAGGGUAACCUUACGAAGGGUUUUUAACUUGAUAGCCCUAGUUUGGGUGGGAUGAUCAUUAAAUUGGCCCAGGGGUAGGAUUUGAGUAUAAUCUGGGUAUUUUUAGGCCAUUAUUCAUUGAUUGUUGUAUUUUGUUAUUGUUUUAGACCAAGAACAAGUCAAGGCAUUACAAAAGGGGAAAUCUCAUGCAAUGAACCUGUUUACUCUACUUGUGGUUUCAAGUGUUGCUCGGAUAUCACGUCUGGUACAGAUAUCUAUAUGAUUGGCUGGGAUACCACGCUAGUACAAUGUACUAACGAUGGUUGGCUCGGGUACCACGCUGGUACACUAACAGUUUGUGUGUGAGUUCCAUGAGAGAAUCGGAAUGUAGAAGAUGGUGUUCUUCAGUGAAUGAUAAGGGUGAGGAGCGGCAGAAAACCAUGGUUGUGAAGAUAUCUGAAAAGAAGAACUCGUAUUUGAUAGAUUGGGAGCGCAAAGGCUCUGACAAAGGGGGAGACUGUUUUGUGAUUUGCGGUGCUUCAAAUUGAGGUUUUGAUUUAUGUGAUAGUGGAGUUUGCAAAGAAGUUUGAGUCAAUGGUUGUUCAUCUAGAGAUUUUGGGGUGUGUUGCUUGGUUGAUCCACAACAUCAAAAUUUCCUUAUUGUAAUUUAUUUCCUAUCUGUUUGUUCUAGACAGUUGUAUUAGCUUAUUUCAAAAUUGUAUAUUCUUUUUUUAUAACCUUUUCCAAACUUGUGUACUCUAAAUUUAGAGGCUUUUGUACCAACAACUUUGGAUUUUAGGGGUAUAGUUCCUCUAUUCUGCAUUUUU